AUACUCUGGUUUCUCUUCAGAUCGUAGAAAUCUUUCGCCUUUUACUAAAGAUUUCCGUGGAGAGGAACAUUUAUGAGUUUCUACCCAAUUUUUGUUCUUUAAAACGUCCAAUAAUG
RNAcentral lists this small nuclear RNA (116 nucleotides) under Gopherus evgoodei (Goodes thornscrub tortoise). Its description in RNAcentral is "U5 spliceosomal RNA (ENSGEVG00005006303.1)". The stretch from base 1 to 104 matches the Rfam family "U5 spliceosomal RNA". Rfam says of the family: U5 RNA is a component of both types of known spliceosome. The precise function of this molecule is unknown, though it is known that the 5' loop is required for splice site selection and p220 binding, and that both the 3' stem-loop and the Sm site are important for Sm protein binding and cap methylation. Lineage: Eukaryota; Metazoa; Chordata; Testudines; Testudinidae. The record is from RNAcentral.